This is a long non-coding RNA of Coregonus clupeaformis (lake whitefish), 110 nucleotides long. RefSeq lists it as uncharacterized. Lineage: Eukaryota; Metazoa; Chordata; Actinopteri; Salmoniformes; Salmonidae. The record is from RefSeq and is a predicted model, not a curated record. The transcript has 2 exons.
CAGAAAGAGUCAAAGAAUUGCGAUAUAACUAUGUGCAAAGAGUCCUUGAGCUAGAGGUGGCUGCAGUGGAGCACCAGUUCAUCUUCAUUGAUGAGGUUGGAUUCAACCUC